RNAcentral lists this long non-coding RNA (1083 nucleotides) under Anser brachyrhynchus (Pink-footed goose). RNAcentral describes it as "lncRNA (ENSABRG00000015966.1)". The record is from RNAcentral. Lineage: Eukaryota; Metazoa; Chordata; Aves; Anseriformes; Anatidae.
CCCUGGUCCUGCUGGCCACACUAUUCCUGAUACAAGCCAAGAUGCCGUUGGCCUUCUUGGCCACCUAGGCACACUGCCACUUCACAUUAAGGCAAGCAUCUAUUAGCACCCCCAGAUCCUUUUCCUCUGCCCUGCUUUCGAGCCACUCUCCCACAAGACAUCUGAAAAGAGUUGAGAGAAGGAGUUAAUGUAAAGAGUAGUUUAAGAGAGGUAGGCAACCUUAACAUGCUACACAUUGCAGCAGAGAAAAGAAUAUAUUUUUCUCCCUUUCUGAUGUGGAAAAUAUAAGUACAAAGAUUUAAUUUGAAUGUUUGAGAGACUCAAACCAGACGCUACAGAGAAUUUGCCAACAAAGUCAGUCAUCCUGAGUAAAAAGGAGUGAUAUAUUUACGCAAAAAAAUCUGUUGCAGGGAUGGAGAUAAUACUAUGUGCUGAUGAAGCAACUUGUUAUCUUUGGAGGAAAAAAGAUUCAGGAAUUUAACAGUCUAUCACUGGACCAGGAAGAAACUGUACCAGAUAAGAAGACACAAAGAAUAAAUCACAAAAACUAUAUGGACUGUAGACAUCUAUGAGGGAUUUCUGAGGACUCCAUCAUUUCCUUUCAUUGUCAGUUAUAAUUAUGAUAAGUUUUGCUGAAUUGAAAUGGAUACAAAUAUAGUUAAUGAAUCUCCAACAUGUUCAUGGAUAACUAAUGUUAGAGUAGCUGAAUUGAUAUGGUGCACAAGAGUAUUUAACAGCUGAUUAUUUUCUUUGUCUGAAGUAAACAUUUUGUUAAAGCAGGAUAUGAAACAUAUAUCCUUAGCUCUCAAAUUUGGGAUUCCAGCAUAGUAGAGUUUACUGAAACAUUUGGGGUCUUCUUUAUUGCAUAACUGAACCUCACUGUUCUUAUUAAUAGCCAAGAGUCUCUCAAGCUGAUGUUCUUCACAGCAACAAAUGGACUUUGGCGUUUAAAAAGGUUACUAAAGCUAACCUUUGGUCCAUCAGUUCUUCCUUUGUGAUAGCAAACAAAAAUAUUUAAAGCUCAAAUCAAAUCAAAUCAAUUAAGCAAAUAAAGAACCUGAAGGUCAGGAAGUGGCCCCGAUU